AAACCAGCACCUCAAGUGGUCAGGAUGAUUAUUGGGCCUAAAGCAUCCGUAGCCUGAUCUGUAAGUUUUCGGUUAAAUCUGUACGCUCAACGUACAGGCUGCCGGGAAUACUGCAGAUCUAGGGAGUGGGAGAGGUAGACGGUACUCGGGAGGAAGUGGUAAAAUGCUUUGAUCUCUCGAUGACCACCUGUGGCGAAGGCGGUCUACCAGAACACGUCCGACGGUGAGGGAUGAAAGCUGGGGGAGCAAACCGGAUUAGAAACCCGAGUAGUCC
Molecule: ribosomal RNA, 274 nt
Filed under: uncultured bacterium
Lineage: Bacteria
Description: partial 16S ribosomal RNA
Rfam family: Archaeal small subunit ribosomal RNA
Source: RNAcentral